Long non-coding RNA from Equus caballus (horse), 2367 nucleotides. NCBI's taxonomy places the organism in Eukaryota, Metazoa, Chordata, Mammalia, Perissodactyla, Equidae. The record is from Ensembl.
CACUUAUAACCACCCAGCAAAUCAUGUUUGUUUAUUGUCUCUUUCCCCUGAUUAGCAUAGAACCUUCAUGAGGACAAGGAGUUUGUUUUUUCUGACUGCUGUACUCCUAAUACCUAAAGAAGUUCAUGGGUCAUUAUAGGCGCUCAGUAUUUAUUCGAUGGACAGGUGGACAGACAGAUGGACGGAGGGACGGAUGGACAGAUGAUGGUGACAAACAUAUUCAGCUCCUGCGUGCUGGGUACUAUGUGCAGCUGUUUACUCACGUUACCAUCUUUCAUCCUCACAAUUCUGUUGCGAGCCACUGUGGCCGUGACUCAGCAGAUCUGGAGUCCCUCCCAGGCACCCAGCAAGUGUCGGCAGCGCUCAGAGGCUUCUGGUACAGACGGUCCUGAGACACACUGUCCUACACAAAGUCGCCUCCAGAAGACCUGUCACCUUGCCAUUUAUAGAGUGUGGACAAGGGGAUAGUGAGGACCCCAGAACCCCUCCAACAGCAUAGCCGUCCACAAAGCCCUCCUUAGAAGACGGAUGUCUCCAGGGAGCAUUGUGUUGGGCAAACUGAGGAGCCGAGAGGGCAAGAGAGCCAGCAGGAGCAGCCACGAUGCACCACGUACACAUGGAAGUACCCCACCGUGGCCCCCAACCUGAGACUCUGUGGCUUGCAGUGACCCAGGGAGAUCCAGAACAUCGCAUUACCCGAGCAGACAGUGUCUGUAAGUGGAUGCCAUCCAGUCAGUCCUUGCCCUGGAGUCUCCAGGCCUUAGGCUGGCCCCACAGCGGCCUGAACACAGGUGCCUCAGCCUCUCCCCUCUUUGGUGCCCGAAGAGGAAUUAUGUCCAGUCAGCCUAGUGACACCUCAGCCAGCAGCAGGGCAAAGGCAAGAGGGCCACACUCCAGGGUCAAGCGAGGACAGAAGGGCCAGAGUUCCCAUUAGUUCAGCAUAGCAGAAGCCCAGGAAAAAAACAAUUUUAUUUUUCUUAAAAUAAUUUGAUCAGCAUAUAUUUGUAAUUGAAAUAGUCUUUAUGGGAAAAGUGAACAAGUUGUUAGACUUCCUUACAUUUAUUUGGUGGCUUAGAAAUGUUUUUUCUUUUUAAUGGGGGCAAGGAGGGUGUUGAGUAGAGGCACUCUAAUCGUUUUAGUGCUUAGAGUCUUUAAAGGUCCUAAUCCUUUAAAGGUCCUCCUUUAAAGGUCUGCCCCAAACAGGGACACGUAAUCUGUGCUCAGUCCCUCAACAUUCUUAAGCAGCUGGUUCAAGACAAAGUCAUGCUCUGGCAGUGGAGCUGAUACUAAUAAGGAAUGUGGAAAAGCAUUGCGUCUGAGGGAAAGCCAGUGUGGCCAAAACAAGCUGUGGAAAUUAAAUCUGUCGAUGACCAGAUUGAGCUCAUACUUCUGUACCACGUUAGAGAAGACCUAAGAAGCUCAUUCUCUCAUUUAUUCACCCAUUCUCUAGUGAGCCUCUGUAACAUUUGCAGCCCAGCCACCAUUUGCAUUCCUUCUGGUAAUUGCUGUCUGUACUUUCACUUCUCCUUGAGGAAUGGGCCAUCUCCUAGCUCAGCCCACACACCAGUCAGCACGUUCCAUCCACAGGCCAUGGUGACUGGGUCAGGGAGGAACAAGCGACCCGAGUCAGGCCAAUCCCAGCCAACAAGACCCAAUUCUGGGGCAUCUGUUCCAGCUACUGGAAACCACUCUUCUGCUUCUGAUGUGGCCUGAAUAUGACGCCAACCCAGAGGAAGCUGGCUGAGAGGUGGUUCCAAAUGGCAUCAUGUGAGCCCCAACACCAGCUAUGCCUCUACCUCCAGACUGUGAAGUUCCAUGAGCAACAAGCUCUCUUUGCUUAAGCAAAACACAAGUCACUAGGAGUUGAAUUUCUGGCAUUCGAUGCCAAAACAGUACUUCAAGGGGAGCCAUGCUCUUCCCACACUGGGCUGUUAGCUCCUGGGGCUGGACUUGGUCCAUUCACAUUGAUAUCCCCUCCACACCCAUGGCCUGCAGCAGUGGUUCUCAGGGUGGGGGCACGACCGGGAGGGAGGCAUUUCGCACAUUGGUGGGGGUGUUUUUGGUUUUCACAAUGACUGGGGAACCCAACUGGUGCUCCUGGUGGGAGCCCACCAGGCUCGACUUCCUGCAGUGUGUGGCUGGGGUAAGACUGGUCUUGGUCUAGUUCAGAACUUUACCAAGAGCUGUUCAUCAUUUUGAAAACUCAUGCCAAAGAUGGCCACCCCACCCCACCCUACCUGCCCUACUGAGUCACCAUGCACCACCACACACCUGUGCCUGUCACAUGGCAGUGACUGCCCAAGGCCACGUGCAUCAGACUUCUUUUAAUGUCUCCUGGUGUAGUCUGCCCAAGCACUUACAUAUGGA